This 777-nucleotide long non-coding RNA is filed under the name Helianthus annuus (common sunflower). RNAcentral's name for it is "hypothetical non coding rna". Lineage: Eukaryota; Viridiplantae; Streptophyta; Magnoliopsida; Asterales; Asteraceae. The record is from RNAcentral.
AAAAAGAUGAACACUUGAAUUAGGAUGUUAAAUGGAUGAACAUUGAUGUUGUGGUGCUAGUUCUAAGUGUAGUUCAUGUACACUAGACAUAGAGGCAUGAAUUUGAUAUUAAAACUUGGUUAAAACGAUGACCAUAAUUAGAUAAAAUAUGCGUAUAAAAUCUCGCCUACAAGAUGUUUGUUAAAAUGCCCGAAUGAAUAUUGAUAAGAAGAAAUUAUGAAAGAAAUGCGUAAUUGGCUAAUUUGACCAAUUACGCGAAAUAUGGGUUAAAACGGGUUCUAAUCAUAAUGUUGAUUUAACUUAAUUGUGCCUAUUGUAUGAUUAAAGGUAGUUGACUUUUAAAAGUCAAACUAACCAAUGAUAAAGUCGAAUAGUAGUUUCGACAUAGAAAAUACGUAAGGUGGAAUAGUCGUGAUUGUUAAUGACUCAUCUAACCACCUUGUAAAUGAUGACAAUAGUUUGACGCUUAACGAGCUAGGUGGCGGCUUAGGAAAAGAAGCGGGUCAAACAGCUUGAAUACGCGGAGAAAGAGCGAAAACGGAUGAAAGGUAUAUUUACAGUACCGGAGGAUGAUCAAGCUCAACGAAUAACCGAACACGGUCAAGUUUAAGCUUCCGCACGUUAUUACGUUGUUGUGUUGAACAACGAAUUAAAUCACAUUUUGUUGUAUUGUUUCAAUGCUAAGUAAAGAUUUAAAUAAACCCGUACUUUCAUUAGUAUGUUUAAUCAUAAAUACACAUUUUUAGUCUUAAUUUAUAAGAAAACCGUUAAAUAUUG